UCUCCCGGUCAAAUAAAUAAAUAAAUAAAUACAUUGAAAUGAGGUUAUGUCUUGUUAAAGACACUUUUAAAUAUCGAGUAAUGUUUUUGCAAUGUAAAUCAAGUAAGAAAUACCGUUUUUGUAUUUAGAUACUUGUACUGUAAUGUAUUUAUUUUUAACUUCAGCGUACAGUGCAGUGUAUUAAUAUUAAAUAUCAAUCUCAUUAACACUCAGGCAGGACCAUUUCUGAUGUGUUAGACAGCGCUGCUACUGGGUAAUAAACUAAAACAAGCGCCCGUUCAAAUAAAGCGGGAGCGAAGAACCGUCUCUGAAAGAGGAUCUUGAAAAUGAUCAGAAUUGUGAAGGCGCCGCAUCUUCUUGCGCCUCUUAAUGCAUCCCUCGUGUCAGCAGCACUAUUGUACUGAAGCGGUAUACAGUACCGGUGCGCGGUUCUCUUUUCACCUGUUUAACUGUGUUACAGGGAGCGGUGCGGGUCCACUCUUCCUCUAUGGGUUGCUGGCGGCAGCUUCAUUUCUUCUGAUUACUCUGUUAAUUACACUGGUAAUAUGCUAUCGAAGACAGAAUAAACCAGAUGCGUAUUUGGCAAAUGAACCAUCGAUGUAUUCCGAGAUUCGCGUUACAGGGAGGGCGCCAGACAAACAAAUAGC
Acipenser ruthenus (sterlet) is the source of this 647-nucleotide long non-coding RNA. RefSeq lists it as uncharacterized. NCBI's taxonomy places the organism in Eukaryota, Metazoa, Chordata, Actinopteri, Acipenseriformes, Acipenseridae. The transcript is spliced from 3 exons. The record is from RefSeq and is a predicted model, not a curated record.